This is a non-coding RNA of Megalopta genalis, 1522 nucleotides long. Lineage: Eukaryota; Metazoa; Arthropoda; Insecta; Hymenoptera; Halictidae. The record is from RefSeq and is a predicted model, not a curated record.
UGCAAUAUUUACAUAUACAAACAUGAUUGAAGUAUAAUAUUAUGCCGUUAUAGAAUCUUUUACAUAGUUAUUUUUCAGAAAUAUGAGGAGGCGCAAUCAUACUUUUCAAACUGUAAAGUGCAGAGGAAAGUAGAGAAGCAAGCUUUAGGAAAUGUAUAUACAGGAUGUCCCAAUUAUCAUUUUGUCGUUAAAAAAAGUCAAAUUGUAUACUGAGCUGAGCUGAACAACUGGUUAGGUCGCAGUAAAUUGUCGAAUACGCUUUUCUAUACCUCGGAAGAGUUGUUUCUGACGAAUCACUAUGUUGAUCAAUGGGUUCUUUGUGAUACGAAUGGUAUCAGUGAUCAUGCUUUUAUAAUGCUAGAAUUACUCGUACUCCACAUUUCUUGAUGCACAUGGACGAUUAGCGUGGAUAUUAACUGUUACUAGAGGAACCAUCAAAUUAGCCGAAUAGUAGACGCGACAGGCCAAAUGCACAACCGGAAACGGAUGCAGUUAAACUAGAAGCCGUGAAUACUUCUCAAUAAUUCAAUUUGCGCAUUCUUGAAUGACUAUACCGCAGUUGCAAAGUGGAGAACGCAGCCACAGGAGUAUAAGUGCGAAUGCAUGUGCAAACAGCGUUCAAGUCGUAAAACGAAUCUCGCCACGCAAAAAGGACUUGAUAUAUACACACGAGGCUUAUAUUUAAUAUUUCCCUUUUCUUGAUUUUACAUAAAUAGACCCGUAUACCCUACCCUAGCAUCCUCACUUUAUAGAUAACCGAAGCGCUGUUGGUAACCAUUCGAUGAGAAGUAAAAUAUUUUACACAUCUUUCUCUCGGUUUAUGGAGCUGUGGGUCGAAGUUUUUAUCCCAACAGCGAGAUAAAUAUCGUUACAAGUUUCUUCGUAAAUCGUUCUGCUUAUCCUAAAACCUGUAUAAUUAAUAUAUUUAUGCGGUCGUCUCGUCGGUUGUCCCUUUUCAGACGGCGAUUCACUAUAAAAAUUCAUUUAUUGGGACUCCGUUCAUCCAAUCUGAUUUUGUCACAGAAACCCGGUCUAUUGAACGCCGUCGAGCAGCUCUUUUUGCAACUACGGAUUCCUACGUAUCCCUUAUAUGUAUAGCAUGGUUCACCUAAAGCCACCUGAACAACAUUUUGUUUAGGGGUGGAACAAUGUCGCAAAAAAUUAAACCGGUUUCCUCCGUAAGUUGUACUUCAUUUUGUCCACUCCAGUAAGCAUAUUAUGCAAUAUUAAACGCUUUUACAUUUAAAGAAGCGAUUAUUCAAUCAAGAACACGAAAUUGAAGAUAUGAAAUUGUGAUAUGUGGGAUACACCAAAUUUUCGUGACGAUUACAGCAUGGACGGUUGGUGGAGCCAGUAAAGCGGCGAGCUACGAAUCUUUUGAAUGCGGUCGACGGUCGAAUGCCGACGAGGAUGGUUUUUUUUCCAUAAAUUUUGCUCUUUCUCAAUUUCUUACUAUGUAACUUAAAAAAUAUUUUCUUAAUGUUUUAAAAAUAUUUUGAGCAAAGGUACAGACGAAAGUAAU